AGAGUUUGAUCCUGGCUCAGAUUGAACGCUGGCGGCAGGCCUAACACAUGCAAGUCGAACGGUAACAGGAAGAAGCUUGCUUCUUUGCUGACGAGUGGCGGACGGGUGAGUAAUGUCUGGGAAACUGCCGGAUGGAGGGGGAUAACUACUGGAAACGGUAGCUAAUACCGCAUAACGUCGCAAGACCAAAGAGGGGGACCUUCGGGCCUCUUGCCAUCGGAUGUGCCCAGAUGGGAUUAGCUAGUAGGUGGGGUAACGGCUCACCUAGGCGACGAUCCCUAGCUGGGUCUGAGAGGAUGACCAGCCACACUGGAACUGAGACACGGUCCAGACUCCUACGGGAGGCAGCAGUGGGGAAUAUUGCACAAUGGGCGCAAGCCUGAUGCAGCCAUGCCGCGUGUAUGAAGAAGGCCUUCGGGUUGUAAAGUACUUUCAGCGGGGAGGAAGGGAGUAAAGUUAAUACCUUUGCUCAUUGACGUUACCCGCAGAAGAAGCACCGGCUAACUCCGUGCCAGCAGCCGCGGUAAUACGGAGGGUGCAAGCGUUAAUCGGAAUUACUGGGCGUAAAGCGCACGCAGGCGGUUUGUUAAGUCAGAUGUGAAAUCCCCGGGCUCAACCUGGGAACUGCAUCUGAUACUGGCAAGCUUGAGUCUCGUAGAGGGGGGUAGAAUUCCAGGUGUAGCGGUGAAAUGCGUAGAGAUCUGGAGGAAUACCGGUGGCGAAGGCGGCCCCCUGGACGAAGACUGACGCUCAGGUGCGAAAGCGUGGGGAGCAAACAAAAUUAGAUACCCUGGUAGUCCACGCCGUAAA
RNAcentral lists this ribosomal RNA (810 nucleotides) under uncultured bacterium. RNAcentral describes it as "bacterial SSU rRNA". It matches the Rfam family "Bacterial small subunit ribosomal RNA", at positions 8 to 806 of the family's 1533-position model. The record is from RNAcentral.